UGCAAGUCGAGCGGUAGCACAGAGAGCUUGCUCCCGGGUGACGAGCGGCGGACGGGUGAGUAAUGUCUGGGAAACUGCCUGAUGGAGGGGGAUAACUACUGGAAACGGUAGCUAAUACCGCAUAACGUCGCAAGACCAAAGAGGGGGACCUUCGGGCCUCUUGCCAUCAGAUGUGCCCAGAUGGGAUUAGCUGGUAGGUGGGGUAACGGCUCACCUAGGCGACGAUCCCUAGCUGGUCUGAGAGGAUGACCAGCCACACUGGAACUGAGACACGGUCCAGACUCCUACGGGAGGCAGCAGUGGGGAAUAUUGCACAAUGGGCGCAAGCCUGAUGCAGCCAUGCCGCGUGUAUGAAGAAGGCCUUCGGGUUGUAAAGUACUUUCAGCGGGGAGGAAGGCGUUGAGGUUAAUAACCUCAUCGAUUGACGUUACCCGCAGAAGAAGCACCGGCUAACUCCGUGCCAGCAGCCGCGGUAAUACGGAGGGUGCAAGCGUUAAUCGGAAUUACUGGGCGUAAAGCGCACGCAGGCGGUCUGUCAAGUCGGAUGUGAAAUCCCCGGGCUCAACCUGGGAACUGCAUUCGAAACUGGCAGGCUAGAGUCUUGUAGAGGGGGGUAGAAUUCCAGGUGUAGCGGUGAAAUGCGUAGAGAUCUGGAGGAAUACCGGUGGCGAAGGCGGCCCCCUGGACAAAGACUGACGCUCAGGUGCGAAAGCGUGGGGAGCAAACAGGAUUAGAUACCCUGGUAGUCCACGCCGUAAACGAUGUCGAUUUGGAGGUUGUGCCCUUGAGGCGUGGCUUCCGGAGCUAACGCGUUAAGUCGACCGCCUGGGGAGUACGGGCGGCCAGGGUUAAAACUCAAAUGAAUUGACGGGGGCCCGCACAAGCGGUGGAGCAUGUGGUUUAAUUCGAUGCAACGCGAAGAACCUUACCUGGUCUUGACAUCCAGAGAACUUUCCAGAGAUGGAUUGGUGCCUUCGGGAACUGUGAGACAGGUGCUGCAUGGCUGUCGUCAGCUCGUGUUGUGAAAUGUUGGGUUAAGUCCCGCAACGAGCGCAACCCUUAUCCUUUGUUGCCAGCGGUUCGGCCGGGAACUCAAAGGAGACUGCCAGUGAUAAACUGGAGGAAGGUGGGGAUGACGUCAAGUCAUCAUGGCCCUUACGAGCAGGGCUACACACGUGCUACAAUGGCGCAUACAAAGAGAAGCGACCUCGCGAGAGCAAGCGGACCUCAUAAAGUAUGUCGUAGUCCGGAUUGGAGUCUGCAACUCGACUCCAUGAAGUCGGAAUCGCUAGUAAUCGUAGAUCAGAAUGCUACGGUGAAUACGUUCCCGGGCCUUGUACACACCGCCCGUCACACCAUGGGAGUGGGUUGCAAAAGAAGUAGGUAGCUUAACCUUCGGGAGGGCGC
This 1407-nucleotide ribosomal RNA is filed under the name Enterobacter pseudoroggenkampii. RNAcentral's name for it is "bacterial SSU rRNA". It matches the Rfam family "Bacterial small subunit ribosomal RNA". Lineage: Bacteria; Pseudomonadati; Pseudomonadota; Gammaproteobacteria; Enterobacterales; Enterobacteriaceae. The record is from RNAcentral.